This 205-nucleotide long non-coding RNA is filed under the name Elaeis guineensis (African oil palm). Its description in RNAcentral is "long non-coding RNA (EGUI_LNC040678)". Lineage: Eukaryota; Viridiplantae; Streptophyta; Magnoliopsida; Arecales; Arecaceae. The record is from RNAcentral.
UGCCCCCUGCUCUGCCACUAAAAUCAUAGGUGAGGGCUCUUCUACCAUCUUCUUUGCCUCUUCCACUUUCUUUCACCUGAGCAUUCUCCCCUACCUUUGCUAUUCUCCCACUCCACCAUUAGAAUUCUAGCUGAGGGCUCCUCCCAUCACUCAUUUGUCUGAACAUUCUCCACCACCUCUAUUGUUCCCCUAUUCCGUCAUUAGA